Molecule: ribosomal RNA, 466 nt
Filed under: uncultured bacterium
Lineage: Bacteria
Description: partial 16S ribosomal RNA
Rfam family: Bacterial small subunit ribosomal RNA
Source: RNAcentral
GAUGAACCCUGGCGGCGUGCUUAACACAUGCAAGUCGAACGAUGAAGCCCAGCUUGCUGGGUGGAUUAGUGGCGAACGGGUGAGUAACACGUGAGUAACCUGCCCUUAACUCUGGGAUAAGCCUGGGAAACUGAGUCUAAUACCGGAUAGGAGCGUCCACCGCAUGGUGGGUGUUGGAAAGAUUUAUCGGUUUUGGAUGGACUCGCGGCCUAUCAGCUUGUUGGUGAGGUAAUGGCUCACCAAGGCGACGACGGGUAGCCGGCCUGAGAGGGUGACCGGCCACACUGGGACUGAGACACGGCCCAGACUCCUACGGGAGGCAGCAGUGGGGGAUAUUGCACAAUGGGCGCAAGCCUGAUGCAGCGACGCCGCGUGAGGGAUGACGGCCUUCGGGUUGUAAACCUCUUUCAGUAGGGAAGAAGCGAAAGUGACGGUACCUGCAGAAGAAGCACCGGCUAACUACGUG